RNAcentral lists this ribosomal RNA (562 nucleotides) under uncultured Bifidobacterium sp. RNAcentral's name for it is "bacterial SSU rRNA". It matches the Rfam family "Bacterial small subunit ribosomal RNA", at positions 147 to 710 of the family's 1533-position model. The record is from RNAcentral. Lineage: Bacteria; Bacillati; Actinomycetota; Actinomycetes; Bifidobacteriales; Bifidobacteriaceae.
CUCCUGGAAACGGGUGGUAAUGCCGGAUGUUCCACAUGAGCGCAUGCGAGUGUGGGAAAGGCUUUUUGCGGCAUGGGAUGGGGUCGCGUCCUAUCAGCUUGUUGGUGGGGUAACGGCCUACCAAGGCGUUGACGGGUAGCCGGCCUGAGAGGGCGACCGGCCACAUUGGGACUGAGAUACGGCCCAGACUCCUACGGGAGGCAGCAGUGGGGAAUAUUGCACAAUGGGCGCAAGCCUGAUGCAGCGACGCCGCGUGCGGGAUGGAGGCCUUCGGGUUGUAAACCGCUUUUGUUCAAGGGCAAGGCACGGUUUCGGCCGUGUUGAGUGGAUUGUUCGAAUAAGCACCGGCUAACUACGUGCCAGCAGCCGCGGUAAUACGUAGGGUGCAAGCGUUAUCCGGAUUUAUUGGGCGUAAAGGGCCCGUAGGCGGUUCGUCGCGUCCGGUGUGAAAGUCCAUCGCUUAACGGUGGAUCCGCGCCGGGUACGGGCGGGCUUGAGUGCGGUAGGGGAGACUGGAAUUCCCGGUGUAACGGUGGAAUGUGUAGAUAUCGGGAAGAACACC